GACGAACGCUGGCGGUGUGCUUCACACAUGCAAGUCGAACGGGGUAGCAAUACCCAGUGGCGGACGGGUGAGUAAAACGUAGGAAUCUGCCUUUAGAUGGGGGAUAGCAGACCGAAAGGUCUAUUAAUACCGCAUAUGCCGAAAGGUGAAAGGAGCAAUCCGUCUGAAGAUGAGCCUGCGUCUGAUUAGCUAGUUGGUAAGGUAAAGGCUUACCAAGGCUACGAUCAGUAGCUGGUCUGAGAGGAUGAUCAGCCACAAUGGAACUGAGACAACGGUCCAUACUCCUACGGGAGGCAGCAGUGGGGAAUUUUACACAAUGGGCGAAAGCCUGAUGUAGCGACACCGCGUGAGCGAAGAAGCCUUUUGGGGUGUAAAGCUCUGUCAGCAGGGACGAAAAAAAUGACGGUACCUGCAGAGGAAGCAUCGGCUAACUACGUGCCAGCAGCCGCGGUAA
Molecule: ribosomal RNA, 454 nt
Filed under: uncultured bacterium
Lineage: Bacteria
Description: bacterial SSU rRNA
Rfam family: Bacterial small subunit ribosomal RNA
Source: RNAcentral